UGGGGAAUAUUGCACAAUGGGCGCAAGCCUGAUGCAGCCAUGCCGCGUGUAUGAAGAAGGCCUUCGGGUUGUAAAGUACUUUCAGCGGGGAGGAAGGGAGUAAAGUUAAUACCUUUGCUCAUUGACGUUACCCGCAGAAGAAGCACCGGCUAACUCCGUGCCAGCAGCCGCGGUAAUACGGAGGGUGCAAGCGUUAAUCGGAAUUACUGGGCGUAAAGCGCACGCAGGCGGUUUGUAAAGUCAGAUGUGAAAUCCCCGGGCUCAACCUGGGAACUGCAUCUGAUACUGGCAAGCUUGAGUCUCGUAGAGGGGGGUAGAAUUCCAGGUGUAGCGGUGAAAUGCGUAGAGAUCUGGAGGAAUACCGGUGGCGAAGGCGGCCCCCUGGACGAAGACUGACGCUCAGGUGCGAAAGCGUGGGGAGCAAACAGG
Molecule: ribosomal RNA, 429 nt
Filed under: Chloroflexota bacterium
Lineage: Bacteria; Bacillati; Chloroflexota
Description: Chloroflexi bacterium partial 16S ribosomal RNA
Rfam family: Bacterial small subunit ribosomal RNA
Source: RNAcentral